Molecule: ribosomal RNA, 263 nt
Filed under: uncultured bacterium
Lineage: Bacteria
Description: partial 16S ribosomal RNA
Rfam family: Bacterial small subunit ribosomal RNA
Source: RNAcentral
CGGACCGGCGCACGGGUGAGUAACACGUAUGCAACCUGCCCUCUUCAGGGGGACAACCUUCCGAAAGGGAGGCUAAUCCCGCGUAUAUCGGUUUCGGGCAUCCGAGAUCGAGGAAAGAUUCAUCGGAAGAGGAUGGGCAUGCGGCGCAUUAGCUAGACGGCGGGGUAACGGCUCACCGUGGCGACGAUGCGUAGGGGUUCUGAGAGGAAGGUCCCCCCACACUGGUACUGAGACACGGACCAGACUCCUACGGGAGGCAGCAG